This 466-nucleotide ribosomal RNA is filed under the name uncultured bacterium. RNAcentral's name for it is "partial 16S ribosomal RNA". It matches the Rfam family "Bacterial small subunit ribosomal RNA", at positions 28 to 507 of the family's 1533-position model. The record is from RNAcentral.
GAUGAACGCUGGCGGCGUGCUUAACACAUGCAAGUCGAACGAUGAAGCCCAGCUUGCUGGGUGGAUUAGUGGCGAACGGGUGAGUAACACGUGAGUAACCUGCCCUUAACUCUGGGAUAAGCCUGGGAAACUGGGUCUAAUACCGGAUAGGAGCGUCCACCGCAUGGUGGGUGUUGGAAAGAUUUAUCGGUUUUGGAUGGACUCGCGGCCUAUCAGCUUGUUGGUGAGGUAAUGGCUCACCAAGGCGACGACGGGUAGCCGGCCUGAGAGGGUGACCGGCCCCCUGGGGAUGAAGAACGGGCCAGGCCCCCUGGGGGGGAAAGGGGGGGGAAUUAUGGCAAAGGGGGCGAAGGCUGGAGGAGGCGCCGCGGGGGGGGGAAGGCCGCCCUUGGGUUUGAAAACCUUUUCCGGAGGGAAAGAAGCAAAGGGGAGGUUACCUGAAGAAGAAGAACCGGCAAACUAGGUG